Molecule: ribosomal RNA, 520 nt
Filed under: uncultured Glomus
Lineage: Eukaryota; Fungi; Glomeromycota; Glomeromycetes; Glomerales; Glomeraceae
Description: SSU rRNA
Rfam family: Eukaryotic small subunit ribosomal RNA
Source: RNAcentral
CGCAGCCGCGGUAAUUCCAGCUCCAAUAGCGUAUAUUAAAGUUGUUGCAGUUAAAAAGCUCGUAGUUGAAUUUCGGGAUCAAUUUAUUGGUCGUGCUAUUGUACGUACUGGUAUUAUUGAUUUCUACCUUCUGACGAACCAUGAUGUCAUUAAUUUGGUGUCUUGGGGAAUCAGGACUGUUACUUUGAAAAAAUUAGAGUGUUUAAAGCAGGCUCACGCUUGAAUACAUUAGCAUGGAAUAACGAAAUAGGACGUUUGAUUCUAUUUUGUUGGUUUCUAGGAUCGACGUAAUGAUUAAUAGGGAUAGUUGGGGGCAUUAGUAUUCAAUUGUCAGAGGUGAAAUUCUUGGAUUUAUUGAAGACUAACUACUGCGAAAGCAUUUGCCAAGGAUGUUUUCAUUAAUCAAGAACGAAAGUUAGGGGAUCGAAGACGAUCAGAUACCGUCGUAGUCUUAACCAUAAACUAUGCCGACUAGGGAUCGGAUGAUGUUAAUUUUUAAUGACUCAUUCGGCGCCUUAAC